RNAcentral lists this transfer RNA (85 nucleotides) under Clostridium sp. RNAcentral's name for it is "tRNA-Leu". It matches the Rfam family "tRNA". From Rfam's summary of the family: Transfer RNA (tRNA) molecules are approximately 80 nucleotides in length. Their secondary structure includes four short double-helical elements and three loops (D, anti-codon, and T loops). Further hydrogen bonds mediate the characteristic L-shaped molecular structure. tRNAs have two regions of fundamental functional importance: the anti-codon, which is responsible for specific mRNA codon recognition, and the 3' end, to which the tRNAs corresponding amino acid is attached (by aminoacyl-tRNA synthetases). tRNAs cope with the degeneracy of the genetic code in two manners: having more than one tRNA (with a specific anti-codon) for a particular amino acid; and 'wobble' base-pairing, i.e. permitting non-standard base-pairing at the 3rd anti-codon position. Lineage: Bacteria; Bacillati; Bacillota; Clostridia; Eubacteriales; Clostridiaceae. The record is from RNAcentral.
GCGGGAGUGCUGGAAUGGCAGACAGGCACGCUUGAGGGGCGUGUGUGCUACGCACGUGUGGGUUCAAGUCCCAUCUCCCGCACCA